UGGGGAAUAUUGGGCAAUGGGCGCAAGCCUGACCCAGCAACGCCGCGUGAAGGAAGAAGGCUUUCGGGUUGUAAACUUCUUUUAAGAGGGAAGAGCAGAAGACGGUACCUCUUGAAUAAGCUCCGGCUAACUACGUGCCAGCAGCCGCGGUAAUACGUAGGGAGCGAGCGUUGUCCGGAUUUACUGGGUGUAAAGGGCGUGCAGCCGGGAGUACAAGUCAGAUGUGAAAUCCCGCGGCUCAACCGCGGAACUGCAUUUGAAACUGUAUUUCUUGAGUACUGGAGAGGCAGACGGAAUUCCUAG
Molecule: ribosomal RNA, 303 nt
Filed under: uncultured bacterium
Lineage: Bacteria
Description: bacterial SSU rRNA
Rfam family: Bacterial small subunit ribosomal RNA
Source: RNAcentral